ACUCCGCGGGUGGAUUUUGGGGGUGUGACAAAAUCAGUUUCUUCGUCGGAGGAGUCUGAAGCAUCUUCAACAAUAACAUCAUUGUAGUGAUCAGCUUCAUGAGCAUAACUGAACUCAAACUCCUUUUUCAGUGACUGAGGAAUUUCAUCUUCGAUAUCAAAUUUAAAUUUCCCAUCAUUCAACCCCAAUUCCUCCAACAUCUCUGCCCUUGAUCUCGAAACCUCGAGCUCCCCCUCAUGUUGAGCAUGCAAGAUGUUAGUUUUGUUAGUGCACUUACGUCUGCUGACUACGUCUUCCAUCGAGUCUUGAAGCUGAUCAGAUCGAAAAUGAUACGAAAUCCUAGAAAUAGUAUUGUAUAUUAGGAUCGCUUAUUGGUACAUUCUAGGAUCGCUUAUUUGUCAUUAGAAUGAUAUAGGAUCGCUUAUUUGGUAGUUGCUUGGAUCGCUUAUACGGUAAAGUGUAGGACCGCUCAUACGGACAUGUCGUAUGAGCGGACCAGAUUCUCUAUAUAUAGAGGAGCGAUCCUAGCACAUAGUUGAUGGUGUAUUGUUUCGGUACUCUGCCGAAGUGCUGUCAGAUCUUGUAACUGAGUUUGAAAUCUAUACAA
This 607-nucleotide long non-coding RNA is filed under the name Helianthus annuus (common sunflower). Lineage: Eukaryota; Viridiplantae; Streptophyta; Magnoliopsida; Asterales; Asteraceae. The record is from RNAcentral.